Molecule: ribosomal RNA, 279 nt
Filed under: uncultured bacterium
Lineage: Bacteria
Description: partial 16S ribosomal RNA
Rfam family: Bacterial small subunit ribosomal RNA
Source: RNAcentral
UGCCAGCCGCCGCGGUAAUACGGAGGGUGCAAGCGUUGUUCGGAAUUACUGGGCGUAAAGCGCGCGUAGGCGGCUAUUUAAGUCAGAUGUGAAAGUCCACGGCUCAACCGUGGAAGUGCAUUUGAAACUGGGUAGCUUGAGUAUUGGAGGGGGUAGUGGAAUUCCCGGUGUAGAGGUGAAAUUCGUAGAUAUCGGGAGGAAUACCGGUGGCGAAGGCGACUACCUGGCCAAAUACUGACGCUGAGGAACGAAAGCAUGGGUAGCGAAGAGGAUUAGAUA